Molecule: ribosomal RNA, 506 nt
Filed under: uncultured bacterium
Lineage: Bacteria
Description: partial 16S ribosomal RNA
Rfam family: Bacterial small subunit ribosomal RNA
Source: RNAcentral
AGUGAACGCUGGCGGUAGGCCUAACACAUGCAAGUCGAACGGCAGCACAGGAGAGCUUGCUCUCUGGGUGGCGAGUGGCGGACGGGUGAGGAAUACAUCGGAAUCUACUUUUUCGUGGGGGAUAACGUAGGGAAACUUACGCUAAUACCGCAUACGACCUACGGGUGAAAGCAGGGGAUCUUCGGACCUUGCGCGAUUGAAUGAGCCGAUGUCGGAUUAGCUAGUUGGCGGGGUAAAGGCCCACCAAGGCGACGAUCCGUAGCUGGUCUGAGAGGAUGAUCAGCCACACUGGAACUGAGACACGGUCCAGACUCCUACGGGAGGCAGCAGUGGGGAAUAUUGGACAAUGGGCGCAAGCCUGAUCCAGCCAUACUGCGUGGGUGAAGAAGGCCUUCGGGUUGUAAAGCCCUUUUGUUGGGAAAGAAAUCCAGCUGGUUGAUACCCGGUUGGGAUGACGGUACCCAAAGAAUAAGCACCGGCUAACUUCGUGCCAGCCGCCGCAGUAA